UAACACGUGAGCAACCUGCCCCUAACUCUGGGAUAACGCUUCGAAAGGAGUGCUAAUACCGGAUAUGAGCCUGGAAGACAUCUUCUGGGUUGGAAAGUUUUUCGGUUAGGGAUGGGCUCGCGGCCUAUCAGCUUGUUGGUGAGGUAAAGGCUCACCAAGGCGACGACGGGUAUCCGGCCUGAGAGGGCGACCGGACACACUGGGACUGAGACACGGCCCAGACUCC
Molecule: ribosomal RNA, 226 nt
Filed under: uncultured bacterium
Lineage: Bacteria
Description: partial 16S ribosomal RNA
Rfam family: Bacterial small subunit ribosomal RNA
Source: RNAcentral